This is a long non-coding RNA of Ahaetulla prasina, 635 nucleotides long. RefSeq lists it as uncharacterized. NCBI's taxonomy places the organism in Eukaryota, Metazoa, Chordata, Lepidosauria, Squamata, Colubridae. The record is from RefSeq and is a predicted model, not a curated record. The transcript has 2 exons.
AGCCAUGGCUGGAAAGCCCAGCUCUGCACGAAGGAGCGAUGAGCUGAAAAAUAUUUCAGGAUCUCAGUCAGUCGAUUCUUGCUACACAACAGCGGUUAACCCACCCAGCUAAGUACGAGCCUCUUAAUUUUCAAAUGAAAGUAUCAGUCAUAGCUGCAUAAAUGCAGAGACAAGAUCGGACAUGUUUGUUUUUAACUGUUCAGACACUCCGGUUCUCUCUGGUGCAAUGCAAUAAGUGUAACUUUGACACCCAAAUUAUUACCCUUCAAAGCACUUGAGAGUGCUUUUAACUUUGCACACAGCAAUUAUGGGCAAUUGUUAUUGUAAAGUGUGAAGGAAGGCAAAAAAAAAAAAAUCCAGUUGACAAACUUCUCUGAUGGAAGGAUGUGCACUCUGGGGAGGUUUAUCUAUGGACAAGCCAGUCGUUCGAGGAUCUAACUUAAAAAACCACAGCUAUUCAUCUAAACAAAUCUAAAUCCAUCACAGGAACAACAACAACAACAACUGCAUUAAACCCAGGACUUGUCAUGGAAAAACAACAACAACAACAACCACCAUCUGCCUUUUUCCUCUCUCUUGUUUCUUACACCUACCUGAAUAUUUGAAUCAGGAGCCAUUUCCCAAGAAACGACAGG